UUAAUGCUACUCAUGUUAGGGG
Molecule: microRNA, 22 nt
Filed under: Chrysemys picta (Painted turtle)
Lineage: Eukaryota; Metazoa; Chordata; Testudines; Emydidae
Description: cpi-miR-155b-5p
Gene: cpi-miR-155b-5p
Source: miRBase by way of RNAcentral